Molecule: long non-coding RNA, 1481 nt
Organism: Monodelphis domestica (gray short-tailed opossum)
Lineage: Eukaryota; Metazoa; Chordata; Mammalia; Didelphimorphia; Didelphidae
Source: RefSeq, a predicted model, not a curated record
CCCUGUCAAGGAGAAUGAUCUUUAACCUGGGAGAGGCAGAAAAAAAACGAACAGGGAUUUAGCCACCAACAUGAGGAAAGAGAUAUUUGAAGAUCCUAACCUGUUGGCUAAGAACAACUAAUUCCCAGAUUUUUAAUGGAAUCCUGAAUAUGAUCCUUCUGUCAAAGGAUGUAAGUGAAGAACAGUCAUCCUGUUUUAGGACUGGACAUCCCAGCUUCAACUUAAUGGAAAUAAGGGUCAGACCAUCCUUGAAGACCUAUUCUGCUCACAAAUAUCAAGAUACCCACUAGACCAUGGAAUACCCUGUGGAUUUUAUUAUGAUUCUGUGACUCCUUUCAUGAGGAAGACACUGCAAUGACGGAUAGAACACUCAUAGCAACACGAAAGGGAAACAUUCAAAUGUCUUCUCUACUACUCUCCCGAUUGUUACUUUCCAAAGAGGCUGUGAUCCUCCUUCCCCAGAGUGAUAUGAAGCCAGUACCAUCCUUGAAUGAUGACUGUGGGGCAUACUUAAGAGUUAGCUCUUGAAGUUGAACCCUAAGUCCUAAGGGGCUUUGCGUGACGUGGAGGUGCACUUAACAGUAGUACUUGUUUGGGAGGACAUAAUCUUCCUCACAUAAACAUUUUUAUACACACACUCGCUUCCCAGAGUAGGGAGAUUUUGGUGACUGGAGGCCCAAAGUACCAGUCAGUGUGAAACUGGAAGUUGAGGAUUGUAAAAGGGGCCUAUUGAGAAUAUACUGAACUGUUCAAAAUCAAUUUUUUGAUGAAACAUUACAGUGCAUGCAUGGAGUAUCAUUGUCUACCCUCUGAAUCAAAUUGGGUACUGCUUUGUACCUGUUUGGGAAUUCAGGAGACCAGAAGUUACUCCUGGAUGAAGUUCGUUUUUUUCCUGGUUCACCUGGACCACUAAUGAUUAAGAAAACUUUAGGAAGUUAGUAAUCACAAGUUACACUAAGCAUGAACACCUCUCGGUUUUCCUGAACUGUCCUCCUUGAGAGGCUUGAAGGUCAUUUCUGUGUUUGUGGACACUUGUGUUGAACUGAAAUGUGGAAGAUGAAGAAACCAUGGAUCAAAGGUUACUUCUCUGUUCCUUGGACACUUUUACUGAACUGCAGAAGGUAAACCAGGAGUUGGUUUCUUCCCAGAUUUCCUAGAUAAACUUUUCAUUGUUCUUACAGAAUUUUUUACAGUCUUUGAGAAUACCUUCAGGUCAGCCAGCCUGAAGGAACAUGUGCUUACACUGGAGGUUGCUUGUGUUGUUUGUUUGCUAUGAAGAACUGGAUGUCUUGGAUCAGUUUUGUUUGCUACCACCUCCCAGAACUUUAUUGAAAGCCCUUUCUCAUCAAUGUAAGGGUAGCAGAUGUUUGUUACAAAGGUCCUCUGAGGUGACCUUAAUGGAUACUCCCUUGAAAGUUGGGAAAAAAUAAACCCUUACCAGGUGAAUAAAACAAUGUCACCAAACUAGGUGUUAUGGAAAU